This 232-nucleotide ribosomal RNA is filed under the name uncultured bacterium. Its description in RNAcentral is "partial 16S ribosomal RNA". It matches the Rfam family "Bacterial small subunit ribosomal RNA", at positions 118 to 347 of the family's 1533-position model. The record is from RNAcentral.
UGAGCAAUCUGCCCUUCUCAUCGGAAUAAGCGUUGGAAACGACGUCUAAUACCGAAUACGACCUCCUUUCGCAUGAUCGGAGGUGGAAAGCUCCGGCGGAGAAGGAUGAGCUCGCGGCCUAUCAGCUAGUUGGUGUGGGUAAUGGCCCACCAAGGCGACGACGGGUAGCCGGCCUGAGAGGGUGACCGGCCACACUGGGACUGAGACACGGCCCAGACCUCCGUACGGGGAG